This 304-nucleotide ribosomal RNA is filed under the name Tubastraea coccinea. RNAcentral describes it as "eukaryotic LSU rRNA". It matches the Rfam family "Eukaryotic large subunit ribosomal RNA", at positions 44 to 343 of the family's 3401-position model. Lineage: Eukaryota; Metazoa; Cnidaria; Anthozoa; Scleractinia; Dendrophylliidae. The record is from RNAcentral. RNAcentral also lists the same sequence under 2 other names.
UAAUAAGCGGAGGAAAAGAAACUAACAAGGAUUCCCCCAGUAACGGCGAGUGAAGCGGGAAUAGCUCAAAUUUGAAAUCUCCGACGCUUGCGUCGGCGAGUUGUAGUUGCGAGAAGCACUUUCUCGGCGGAUCGGGCGUGCCUAAGUUGCUUGGAACAGUACGUCGCAGAGGGUGACAACCCCGUUUGUGGCACGGCCGACCGCUCACGAUGUGCUUUCGAAGAGUCGGGUUGUUCGGGAAUGCAGCCCAAAACGGGUGGUAAACUCCAUCUAAAGCUAAAUAUUGACGUGAGACCGAUAGCGA